RNAcentral lists this unclassified non-coding RNA (230 nucleotides) under Hevea brasiliensis (rubber tree). The record is from RNAcentral. Lineage: Eukaryota; Viridiplantae; Streptophyta; Magnoliopsida; Malpighiales; Euphorbiaceae.
CCAGAUUACGUGCAGCCGCCUCUCGAACAACAGUUGCAGCAUCUUCUACCAGUUGUUGCACAAUGGACAGAAUUAGAGAAUCACGGAUCUCAGGCUGGACAAACUCUGCAAGCUCUCCACAAGAUUGAGCAACAAGCAGUCUACGCUCCUCAUAUGUGUGGUUUAUUUGUUCCCAACACUGGGGAAGCAAUUCUGUUUCUGUUCUCAUCUCUCCCACAUUCUUUGCAAGA